AUAGACUCUAAAAGUUUAAUUAUUUAGGGCCAACAAUAUAUAUCAAGCUUAACAUUAUCUAUUUCCACAUUUAGAGUGGAAGUAUAAACUAUUCAUUAUCUUAGUGUGGACAAAAAGAUAAAAUUUAGUGAUCCAAAAAGAUAGUCAGACUCAUGUGGAUUGCUUUAGCUGCUAUAGAAAGGAUUAGAUAUGGUUUAAGAGUG
Molecule: long non-coding RNA, 203 nt
Filed under: Elaeis guineensis (African oil palm)
Lineage: Eukaryota; Viridiplantae; Streptophyta; Magnoliopsida; Arecales; Arecaceae
Description: long non-coding RNA (EGUI_LNC009182)
Source: RNAcentral